CUCUCUCUCUCUCUCUCGGGCUUCGAUGCGUGACGGCAGGAGCAGCUGGUUAACUGGUUCGGAAACCCGCUCCUGGUUCCUUCAUCGAGGGUUUAGGGAUUAGCUUCGGAACCCAAAGAAUUCGCUUUGAAUUUGGUUGUAGGGUUGCGAUGAAUUCAGAGGGGACAUUUGGCCUUCAAAAUGCGUCCUUGACAUCAAAAUAAGCAUUGCAUACACAUGAUAGAUAGAAAGGUAGGAAAGGCUAAGUACUGCUUAUGAUGAAAAGAAUGCCUCUUUGACAUCGCAAGUGGGUGGGUGUGGGGGCACCGCCGGCUUGUUGAUGAUGAUGAUGAAUGAUGAUUUGGUUUAGAAGAGGUUUAUGCAUGAAGCAAUGAUGGGAAUCGAGUGUCCCCAACUAAUUUGAUCUCAUCUGCUUCUGCCAUUUAGCUGUGAUGGAAGGUCUCAACACAGUUCCGUACAUACGAUAUGGUACGAGCUGUAUUUAUCGGUCCGGCAGUUUAUCGAUAUACAUAACAUGGUUUGUGAAAGA
Long non-coding RNA from Musa acuminata subsp. malaccensis (wild Malaysian banana), 529 nucleotides. RefSeq lists it as uncharacterized. Lineage: Eukaryota; Viridiplantae; Streptophyta; Magnoliopsida; Zingiberales; Musaceae. The record is from RefSeq and is a predicted model, not a curated record.